AACACAUGCAAGUCGAGCGAGAGUCGAUCGAGGGGUAACCCUCGAUCGAGGAGAGCGGCGAACGGGUGAGUAACACGUGGGUAACCUGCCCCAGGCACUGGGAUAACACCGGGAAACCGGUGCUAAUACCGGAUACUCUCGGCGGAUCGCAUGACCUGCCGAGGAAAGCUCCGACGGUCUGGGAUGGGCCCGCGGCCUAUCAGCUUGUUGGUGGGGUAACGGCCUACCAAGGCUUCGACGGGUAGCUGGCGUGAGAGCGUGGCCAGCCACACUGGGACUGAGACACGGCCCAGACUCCUACGGGAGGCAGCAGUGGGGAAUAUUGCGCUAAUGCGCGAAAGCGUGACGCAGCGACACCGCGUGGGGGAUGAAUGCCUUCGGGUUGUAAACCCCUUUCGACAGGGAAGAAGCUAACGUGACGGUACCUGUAGAAGAAGUCCCGGCUAACUACGUGCCAGCAGCCGCGGUAAGACGUAGGGGACGAGCGUUGUCCGGAUUUAUUGGGCGUAAAGCGCGCGCAGGCGGUUGCACAAGUCGGGUGUGAAAAUCCGGGGCUCAACCCCGGACCUGCACCCGAUACUGUGCGACUAGAGGUAGGUAGGGGAGAUCGGAAUUCCUGGUGUAGCGGUGAAAUGCGCAGAUAUCAGGAGGAACACCGGUGGCGAAGGCGGAUCUCUGGGCCUUACCUGACGCUCAGGCGCGAAAGCUAGGGGAGCGAACAGGAUUAGAUACCCUGGUAGUCCUAGCCGUAAACGUUGGAUUCUAGGUGUGGGGGGAUAUCGACCCCUUCCGUGCCGAAGCUAACGCAUUAAGCAUCCCGCCUGG
Molecule: ribosomal RNA, 825 nt
Filed under: uncultured bacterium
Lineage: Bacteria
Description: bacterial SSU rRNA
Rfam family: Bacterial small subunit ribosomal RNA
Source: RNAcentral